This 461-nucleotide long non-coding RNA is filed under the name Mytilus galloprovincialis (Mediterranean mussel). Lineage: Eukaryota; Metazoa; Mollusca; Bivalvia; Mytilida; Mytilidae. The record is from RNAcentral.
UGAAAUACAAAACGAAACGUGUAUGAUAAACUGAUAAACAAAAUAUCAAGAAAUUAAGGAUGACUAAAUGCAUGCACAAGAAGAAACUCACCUUUCUAUCGAUACAUUUGAAUGAUUUAAUGAAUAAACACUUUUUUAAAAACUGUUUGUGUCUAUUUACAUAGAUAUAGGAGGAUGUGGUGUGAAUGCCAAUGAGACAACUCCCCAUCCAAAUAACAAUUUAUAAAAGUAAACCAUGAUAGGUCAAUGUACGGCCUUCAACACGGAGCCACUGAACAACAAGCUAUAAAGGUCCCCAAAAUUACUAGUGUAAAACCAUCUAAACGGGAAAACCAACGGUCUAUAAAUAUUUACAAUAUAUAAUUUACGUUCGUUUUUCAACCGAGAAUAGCAAAACCUAAUGAAGUAUAUCGUUGGAGUUUAUAAACUACAUUUAAUCAUCCCCUGUGCCAUGAUUGGCC